RNAcentral lists this transfer RNA (69 nucleotides) under human gut metagenome. It matches the Rfam family "tRNA". Rfam says of the family: Transfer RNA (tRNA) molecules are approximately 80 nucleotides in length. Their secondary structure includes four short double-helical elements and three loops (D, anti-codon, and T loops). Further hydrogen bonds mediate the characteristic L-shaped molecular structure. tRNAs have two regions of fundamental functional importance: the anti-codon, which is responsible for specific mRNA codon recognition, and the 3' end, to which the tRNAs corresponding amino acid is attached (by aminoacyl-tRNA synthetases). tRNAs cope with the degeneracy of the genetic code in two manners: having more than one tRNA (with a specific anti-codon) for a particular amino acid; and 'wobble' base-pairing, i.e. permitting non-standard base-pairing at the 3rd anti-codon position. RNAcentral also lists the same sequence under 1 other name. The record is from RNAcentral.
GCGCGGUAGUUCAGUUGGUUAGAACGCCGGCCUGUCACGCCGGAGGUCGUGGGUUCAAGUCCCAUCCGC